RNAcentral lists this non-coding RNA (116 nucleotides) under Arabidopsis thaliana (thale cress). Lineage: Eukaryota; Viridiplantae; Streptophyta; Magnoliopsida; Brassicales; Brassicaceae. The record is from RNAcentral.
GUACUUGAUGAUGAACGGGUAAUCUGCAUCCUGAGGUUUAAAACCAAUUAAGCAUAUACAUAUGCGAAUGUAUAGUUUUUAAUCCUCGGGAUACAGUUUACCUCUUCCUUACUCAA